This is a small nuclear RNA of Sarcophilus harrisii (Tasmanian devil), 100 nucleotides long. The record is from Ensembl. NCBI's taxonomy places the organism in Eukaryota, Metazoa, Chordata, Mammalia, Dasyuromorphia, Dasyuridae.
AUGCUUUUAGGUAGUAUAUAUAUUAAAAUUAGAAUGACAAAAAGAUUAGCAUGACCUCUGUGUGAGGAUGACACAAAUUCAUGAAGUGUUCCAUAUUUUA